RNAcentral lists this long non-coding RNA (1182 nucleotides) under Musa acuminata (dwarf banana). Its description in RNAcentral is "long non-coding RNA (MACU_LNC003733)". Lineage: Eukaryota; Viridiplantae; Streptophyta; Magnoliopsida; Zingiberales; Musaceae. The record is from RNAcentral.
UAUUGUCUUCCUGAAUAUGAGAUGAAGCUCUUGUUUGGAGACAUUUAGACAGCAGCCAAGAUUUUGUAGAGCAAGUCUAGUUAGACUAAAGAAUCACUGGAAAACCCUAUUUGAUCUGAUACACACAUGUCUAGGAAAAUACUAUCACCCAUGCUGCAAGUCGACUGCAAAAUGCUAUUACACACUGCAGGUUCAUGGACAAGGUUAUAGAUUGAAUUCAACUUGGAUCAGAUAAGACUGUACACAAUGAAAUGUUGUGACUGGAGCCACAGCAACUCUUGUUGCUUUCAGCAGAAUCGGUGCAUCAGAGAGACACAGUUUCUGGCAGGAAAUAAUACAACUUCUGUUUCCUCACAGUUUCCGCAGAACAGAAAAUUGCAUCUUCUGCAGUAGCUUGCAAGAGUAUCUAAUGUUCCAAGGUAAAAAGAUGUACUUCAGUUCUUGACAUCCCAAGAACAAGUUCAAAUCCAUCAUCUUCUCAGCUUUGAAGAGGCCCACUGGAUCCAGAGAUGGAGCUGGGGACAUCCCAGAUUAAUCGAGAGCUUCUGAGUUGACAAUCCCUCACUCAUGUCUUCCCAUCGAUUGAUUACACUCCCAAAGAGGAUGCCUUUCCAAAAACUAGAAGAUGAUAGUUCAGUACUGCUAACACAUGAUGCUCUGCUGUGGAUGCCUCCUUGGUGGGAAACAUGAAAUGUGUGGUAUAAGCAUUUAAGAAAGAAAGGAUCUUGCAGAGAAAAGACUUCUUCGACACCGGAAUUCUCUCUUCAUGACGAAGAAAACAAAAUCUCAAUAUGUUUCAAGAUCAAUUUAUCCGAAAAGUGAAAUAAUUUGUACCUCAUAAAAGAAAGUUGAGUCAGGAGAUGUUCAAUCUAUAUGGGGAACUGACAUGAAACCAACACAGUCACUCCAUGGGCCGGCUAUGGCAAUUUGGGUGAGGCUUGCGAGAAGUCACUGUGACAUAGCUGUGGACAAAGAACAAGUUCUUCCUGUCUGUACGUAAUUAGCUUCACUGAGUUCUCUUGGUGAUGAUAUUAACGAAGAGAGAGAAGAGUGUAGUCAUGAUCUAAUAUGAUAAGUCUACAACAAACAAAUGAGCUUCUUCUUUAUCUUACGUAACCUCAACAGUCUGGUCAAAUCUCUUGAGAACUCACCAAGAGAUUGAUCCUUCCUUCACAAGCACUC